This 709-nucleotide long non-coding RNA is filed under the name Micromonas pusilla. RNAcentral describes it as "long non-coding RNA (MPUS_LNC000115)". Lineage: Eukaryota; Viridiplantae; Chlorophyta; Mamiellophyceae; Mamiellales; Mamiellaceae. The record is from RNAcentral.
CGCGGAGAUCAAACCCGGGGACAGAACGCGCGAGCACGCGCACAGGACGCGGUGGGCGAAGAAGACGGCGAGGGCGCUGAAGAUGAUUCAGCACGGCGGCGUCGAGGACGGGUUCGGAAUGGGGGUCGCGCUGCACGAGGACCUCGAAGGGAGCGCGUUCCACGCGCGCGGGGACGACUUCGCGUCGAUUCGCGAGCGCGAGCUGGAGCCGGUGUUCGGAGGGUGGCGAGAGGGCGAGUGCGUCCCGGGGCACUGGGGGGACGAGGACGGCGGAGGGGGCGGUCGAGAGGACGACGACAUGAUGCGAUAGCUCGACGACGACGAUUAAGUUACCUUCGUAGGUAGUAGGUAGUCUCCGAAGCUCGACCGCGGCGGCACUUCCGAUAUCCGAACAGAAACGAUUCCAGACGGAAGCAUCAGGGUUUAGGGUUUAGGGUUUAGGGUUUAGGGUUUAGGGUUUAGGGUUUAGGGUUUAGGGUUUAGGGUUUAGGGUUUAGGGUUUAGGGUUUAGGGUUUAGGGUUUAGGGUUUAGGGUUUAGGGUUUAGGGUUUAGGGUUUAGGGUUUAGGGUUUAGGGUUUAGGGUUUAGGGUUUAGGGUUUAGGGUUUAGGGUUUAGGGUUUAGGGUUUAGGGUUUAGGGUUUAGGGUUUAGGGUUUAGGGUUUAGGGUUUAGGGUUUAGGGUUUAGGGUUUAGGGUUUAGGGUUUAGGG